This 260-nucleotide ribosomal RNA is filed under the name uncultured bacterium. RNAcentral's name for it is "partial small subunit ribosomal RNA". It matches the Rfam family "Bacterial small subunit ribosomal RNA", at positions 26 to 285 of the family's 1533-position model. The record is from RNAcentral.
AGGACGAACGCUGGCGGCGUGCUUAACACAUGCAAGUCGAACGGAAAGGCCCUUUCGGGGGGUACUCGAGUGGCGAACGGGUGAGUAACACGUGGGUGAUCUGCCCUGCACUUUGGGAUAAGCCUGGGAAACUGGGUCUAAUACCGAAUACACCCUGCUGGUCGCAUGGCCUGGUGGGGGGAAAGCUUUUGCGGUGUGGGAUGGGCCCGCGGCCUAUCAGCUUGUUGGUGGGGUGAUGGCCUACAAGGCGACGACGGGUA